GGGCCCGCACAAGCGGUGGAGCAUGUGGUUUAAUUUGAUGCAACGCGAAGAACCUUACCAGGGUUUGACAUAGUACGAAGUUUUUUGAAAAAAAAGCCACCUUCGGGAACGUACAUACAGGUGGUGCAUGGCUGUCGUCAGCUCGUGUCGUGAGAUGUUGGGUUAAGUCCCGCAACGAGCGUAACCCUUGUUUUUAGUUGCCUUUCGAGGAUAUUUAGAAAGACUGCCGAUUAUAAAUCGGAGGAAGGUAAGGACGACGUCAAGUCAUCAUGCCCCUUACACUCUGGGCUACACACGUGCUACAUUGGGUAGAACAAUAAGUUGCUAAGUUGCGAAACCAAGCG
Molecule: ribosomal RNA, 344 nt
Filed under: uncultured bacterium
Lineage: Bacteria
Description: partial 16S ribosomal RNA
Rfam family: Bacterial small subunit ribosomal RNA
Source: RNAcentral